This is a long non-coding RNA of Oncorhynchus masou masou (cherry salmon), 244 nucleotides long. RefSeq lists it as uncharacterized. The record is from RefSeq and is a predicted model, not a curated record. Lineage: Eukaryota; Metazoa; Chordata; Actinopteri; Salmoniformes; Salmonidae. The transcript has 3 exons.
CGGAGGGUGGUGCAGCUGUUGACUGAGAUCACUGAAAACCCACCUGAUGUGGUGGAAGUUGUCGAACCAGAUCAGAAUGCCUUCAAGGACUACAGUACCUUCAGGCAGAGACGGAGAAAGAUGUGGGAGAAGACUGAGAUGGAGAGGAUGAGGGUUUUUGACCAGGGGAGACUGAACAUGGACAAGGUGCAGGAGAAAUGGAAGGAAAGGCACCAGAGCAGAAUCAAGAUGGGGACCAAGUGCU